Molecule: ribosomal RNA, 505 nt
Filed under: uncultured bacterium
Lineage: Bacteria
Description: partial 16S ribosomal RNA
Rfam family: Bacterial small subunit ribosomal RNA
Source: RNAcentral
GACGAACGCUGGCGGCGUGCCUAAUACAUGCAAGUAGAACGCACAGUUUAUACCGUAGCUUGCUACACCAUAGACUGUGAGUUGCGAACGGGUGAGUAACGCGUAGGUAACCUGCCUGGUAGCGGGGGAUAACUAUUGGAAACGAUAGCUAAUACCGCAUAAUAUUGAUUAUUGCAUGAUAAUUAAUUGAAAGGUGCAAUUGCACCACUACCAGAUGGACCUGCGUUGUAUUAGCUAGUAGGUGAGGUAACGGCUCACCUAGGCGACGAUACAUAGCCGACCUGAGAGGGUGAUCGGCCACACUGGGACUGAGACACGGCCCAGACUCCUACGGGAGGCAGCAGUAGGGAAUCUUCGGCAAUGGACGAAAGUCUGACCGAGCAACGCCGCGUGAGUGAAGAAGGUUUUCGGAUCGUAAAGCUCUGUUGUAAGAGAAGAACGGGUAUGAGAGUGGAAAGUUCACACUGUGACGGUAUCUUACCAGAAAGGGACGGCUAACUACGUG